UACAGAGGGUGCAAGCGUUAAUCGGAAUUACUGGGCGUAAAGCGUGCGCAGGCGGUUCGUUGUGUCGGUGGUGAAAGCCCCGGGCUUAACCUGGGAAUGGCCGUCGAAACUGGCGAACUGGAGUGUGGCAGAGGGGGGUGGAAUUCCGCGUGUAGCAGUGAAAUGCGUAGAGAUGCGGAGGAACACCGAUGGCGAAGGCAGCCCCCUGGGCUGACACUGACGCUCAGGCACGAAAGCGUGGGGAGCAAACAGG
This 253-nucleotide ribosomal RNA is filed under the name uncultured bacterium. RNAcentral's name for it is "partial 16S ribosomal RNA". It matches the Rfam family "Bacterial small subunit ribosomal RNA", at positions 524 to 776 of the family's 1533-position model. The record is from RNAcentral.